RNAcentral lists this ribosomal RNA (253 nucleotides) under uncultured bacterium. Its description in RNAcentral is "partial 16S ribosomal RNA". It matches the Rfam family "Bacterial small subunit ribosomal RNA", at positions 524 to 776 of the family's 1533-position model. The record is from RNAcentral.
GACGGAGGAUGCAAGUGUUAUCCGGAAUCACUGGGCGUAAAGCGUCUGUAGGUGGUUUAAUAAGUCAACUGUUAAAUCUUGAGGCUCAACCUCAAAAUCGCAGUCGAAACUAUUAGGCUAGAGUAUAGUAGGGGUAAAGGGAAUUUCCAGUGGAGCGGUGAAAUGCGUAGAGAUUGGAAAGAACACCCAUGGCGAAGGCAGCAAACUGGUCAUCAACUGACGCUGAGGCGCGAAAGCGUGGGUAGCAAACAGG